Molecule: ribosomal RNA, 1380 nt
Filed under: Dendronalium sp. CSM 029-N
Lineage: Bacteria; Bacillati; Cyanobacteriota; Cyanophyceae; Nostocales; Nostocaceae
Description: bacterial SSU rRNA
Rfam family: Bacterial small subunit ribosomal RNA
Source: RNAcentral
GGCGGGAUGCUUACCUGCAGUCGAACGGUGUCUUCGGACACAGUGGCGGACGGGUGAGUAACGCGUGAGAAUCUAGCUUCAGGUCGGGGACAACCACUGGAAACGGUGGCUAAUACCGGAUGUGCCGGAAGGUAAAAGGCUUGCUGCCUGAAGAUGAGCUCGCGUCUGAUUAGCUAGUAGGUGGGGUAAGAGCCUACCUAGGCGACGAUCAGUAGCUGGUCUGAGAGGACGAUCAGCCACACUGGGACUGAGACACGGCCCAGACUCCUACGGGAGGCAGCAGUGGGGAAUUUUCCGCAAUGGGCGAAAGCCUGACGGAGCAAUACCGCGUGAGGGAGGAAGGCUCUUGGGUUGUAAACCUCUUUUCUCAGGGAAGAACACAAUGACGGUACCUGAGGAAUCAGCAUCGGCUAACUCCGUGCCAGCAGCCGCGGUAAUACGGAGGAUGCAAGCGUUAUCCGGAAUGAUUGGGCGUAAAGCGUCCGCAGGUGGCAAUGUAAGUCUGCUGUUAAAGAGUGAGGCUCAACCUCAUAAAAGCAGUGGAAACUACAUAGCUAGAGUGCGUUCGGGGCAGAGGGAAUUCCUGGUGUAGCGGUGAAAUGCGUAGAUAUCAGGAAGAACACCGGUGGCGAAAGCGCUCUGCUAGGCCGCAACUGACACUGAGGGACGAAAGCUAGGGGAGCGAAUGGGAUUAGAUACCCCAGUAGUCCUAGCCGUAACGAUGGAUACUAGGCGUGGCUUGUAUCGACCCGAGCCGUGCCGUAGCUAACGCGUUAAGUAUCCCGCCUGAGGAGUACGCACGCAAGUGUGAAACUCAAAGGAAUUGACGGCGCCCCACACAAGCGGUGGAGUAUGUGUUUUAAUUCGAUGCAACGCGAAAAACCUUACCAGAACCUGACAUGUCACGAACCUUUGUGGAAACAAAGGGUGCUUCCGGGAACGCAACCCGGUGUGCUGCGUGGCUGUCGUCAGCUCGUGUCGUGAGAUGUUGGGUUAAGUCCCGCAACGAGCGCAACCCUCGUUUUUAGUUGCCAGCAUUAAGUUGGGCACUCUAGAGAGACUGCCGGUGACAAACCGGAGGAAGGUGGGGAUGACGUCAAGUCAGCAUGCCCCUUACGUCUUGGGCUACACACGUACUACAAUGCUCCGGACAGAGGGCAGCGAGCUAGCGAUAGCAAGCAAAUCCCGUAAACCGGAGCUCAGUUCAGAUCGCAGGCUGCAACUCGCCUGCGUGAAGGAGGAAUCGCUAGUAAUUGCAGGUCAGCAUACUGCAGUGAAUUCGUUCCCGGGCCUUGUACACACCGCCCGUCACACCAUGGAAGCUGGCAACGCCCGAAGUCAUUACUCCAACUCUCGGAGAGGAGGAGCCUAAGUCAGUCG